Molecule: long non-coding RNA, 954 nt
Organism: Dermacentor andersoni
Lineage: Eukaryota; Metazoa; Arthropoda; Arachnida; Ixodida; Ixodidae
Source: RefSeq, a predicted model, not a curated record
CUUCAACAUAUUGGUCCAUUUUCUUUUAAAGAGAGCAGAACAGACUGGAAGAAAAAAGACCAUGAUGAUGCUGCUAUGCUUCGUGGUAAUAUUUUUGACACAAUAUAUUAUUAGUCCUUGCUUUUCCGAGGAGCGCCCUGGUGAAAUAGGUACAACGGCUUCUUCAAAAAGCGCACCUAUUCGACUACCCCCUAUCAAGUUUAAUGCUGAGGAUGGCUCCGGUGAAACUGAUGGAACGAGUGUUACUGAAAUUCUAUCCCCUCGACUUUCGUCUGAACGGCUUAGUGAGAGACACGUGGAACCUGGUAGAACGCCAACUGCGGAGACUCUACCAUUUCCACCGCCUCCCUACGAACUUCUUGGUAAUAUGCACAUUCUGUAUGGAAAUAGCUGCACAUAUCAAGAUUAUAGCUUGACUAUGGGCCUCUCGCUUGACUUGGGCAACCCGUGCAUAAGCCUAAAAUGCAGACCGGAGCGGUCCCAACUGAUAAUUACUGGAUGUCCACCUCCGCAAGAUUAUCAACUUACCCACAGAGACGCAGAAGAUUUCUGGCCCGGAUGCUGCAGUAAGGAACAUGAAACUGAAGCAACCAUAAGUAACGGCGAACUACGGGGGACACCUGAAAUUCCGUAUGAAUCAUCAAAACAAUUUACGAAGUCCAAGUAAAUAAAUGAUGCGGCCUUAACUGAUCAAGGGAAGCAUGAAUUCAUGCAAAGUUCUUAUCCCAAACUAUAAAACCUAUUUCUUUUUUUUUUAGAAAGAUUGUUUCCUUCUCAAGCUACGAACGCUCAUGUUAUGUAGCCGAAGAAAUUUGUUCUUUAGUUUGAUAUGUGCCAUACAUAAUAUCGUGCCUUUUCAUCACCACAUUUUACCACUUUUGUCAUCCGCACGACGCAAUCGCCAAAAAGCGCCAGUCUGAAAUAAGUAACUCAUUGUUCCCAUCAUCCCUGAUU